This 2238-nucleotide ribosomal RNA is filed under the name Campylobacter jejuni. Its description in RNAcentral is "partial 23S ribosomal RNA". It matches the Rfam family "Bacterial large subunit ribosomal RNA", at positions 1 to 2101 of the family's 2925-position model. The record is from RNAcentral. Lineage: Bacteria; Pseudomonadati; Campylobacterota; Epsilonproteobacteria; Campylobacterales; Campylobacteraceae.
AAAAAAGGUAAGCUACUAAGAGCGAAUGGUGGAUGCCUUGACUGGUAAAGGCGAUGAAGGACGUACUAGACUGCGAUAAGCUACGGGGAGCUGUCAAGAAGCUUUGAUCCGUAGAUUUCCGAAUGGGGCAACCCAAUGUAUAGAGAUAUACAUUACCUAUAUAGGAGCGAACGAGGGGAAUUGAAACAUCUUAGUACCCUCAGGAAAAGAAAUCAAUAGAGAUUGCGUCAGUAGCGGCGAGCGAAAGCGCAAGAGGGCAAACCCAGUGCUUGCACUGGGGGUUGUAGGACUGCAAUGUGCAAGAGCUGAGUUUAGCAGAACAUUCUGGAAAGUAUAGCCAUAGAGGGUGAUAGUCCCGUAUGCGAAAAACAAAGCUUAGCUAGCAGUAUCCUGAGUAGGGCGGGACACGAGGAAUCCUGUCUGAAUCCGGGUCGACCACGAUCCAACCCUAAAUACUAAUACCAGAUCGAUAGUGCACAAGUACCGUGAGGGAAAGGUGAAAAGAACUGAGGUGAUCAGAGUGAAAUAGAACCUGAAACCAUUUGCUUACAAUCAUUCAGAGCACUAUGUAGCAAUACAGUGUGAUGGACUGCCUUUUGCAUAAUGAGCCUGCGAGUUGUGGUGUCUGGCAAGGUUAAGCAAACGCGAAGCCGUAGCGAAAGCGAGUCUGAAUAGGGCGCUUAGUCAGAUGCUGCAGACCCGAAACGAAGUGAUCUAUCCAUGAGCAAGUUGAAGCUAGUGUAAGAACUAGUGGAGGACUGAACCCAUAGGCGUUGAAAAGCCCCGGGAUGACUUGUGGAUAGGGGUGAAAGGCCAAUCAAACUUCGUGAUAGCUGGUUCUCUCCGAAAUAUAUUUAGGUAUAGCGUUGUGUCGUAAUAUAAGGGGGUAGAGCACUGAAUGGGCUAGGGCAUACACCAAUGUACCAAACCCUAUCAAACUCCGAAUACCUUAUAUGUAAUCACAGCAGUCAGGCGGCGAGUGAUAAAAUCCGUCGUCAAGAGGGAAACAACCCAGACUACCAGCUAAGGUCCCUAAAUCUUACUUAAGUGGAAAACGAUGUGAAGUUACUUAAACAACCAGGAGGUUGGCUUAGAAGCAGCCAUCCUUUAAAGAAAGCGUAAUAGCUCACUGGUCUAGUGAUUUUGCGCGGAAAAUAUAACGGGGCUAAAGUAAGUACCGAAGCUGUAGACUUGCGCACAACUUAGAUUAUUUAAGUUUAGAAUAUGAGAAACUAAGUUAUAUUUUUACUGAUUUUUAUAGAGUAAAGAUAGAAAUAAAACUUAGUAAAAUCAGUAAAAAUAUUCUUAGGCUAAAGUUAAGUAGUUUAAGUUGUGUGCAAGUGGUAGGAGAGCGUUCUAUUUGCGUCGAAGGUAUACCGGUAAGGAGUGCUGGAGCGAAUAGAAGUGAGCAUGCAGGCAUGAGUAGCGAUAAUUAAUGUGAGAAUCAUUAACGCCGUAAACCCAAGGUUUCCUACGCGAUGCUCGUCAUCGUAGGGUUAGUCGGGUCCUAAGUCGAGUCCGAAAGGGGUAGACGAUGGCAAAUUGGUUAAUAUUCCAAUACCAACAUUAGUGUGCGAUGGAAGGACGCUUAGGGCUAAGGGGGCUAGCGGAUGGAAGUGCUAGUCUAAGGUCGUAGGAGGUUAUACAGGCAAAUCCGUAUAACAAUACUCCGAGAACUGAAAGGCUUUUUGAAGUCUUCGGAUGGAUAGAAGAACCCCUGAUGCCGUCGAGCCAAGAAAAGUUUCUAAGUUUAGCUAAUGUUGCCCGUACCGUAAACCGACACAGGUGGGUGGGAUGAGUAUUCUAAGGCGCGUGGAAGAACUCUCUUUAAGGAACUCUGCAAAAUAGCACCGUAUCUUCGGUAUAAGGUGUGGUUAGCUUUGUAUUAGGAUUUACUCCGAAAGCAAGGAAACUUACAACAAAGAGUCCCUCCCGACUGUUUACCAAAAACACAGCACUCUGCUAACUCGUAAGAGGAUGUAUAGGGUGUGACGCCUGCCCGGUGCUCGAAGGUUAAUUGAUGGGGUUAGCAUUAGCGAAGCUCUUGAUCGAAGCCCGAGUAAACGGCGGCCGUAACUAUAACGGUCCUAAGGUAGCGAAAUUCCUUGUCGGUUAAAUACCGACCUGCAUGAAUGGCGUAACGAGAUGGGAGCUGUCUCAAAGAGGGAUCCAGUGAAAUUGUAGUGGAGGUGAAAAUUCCUCCUACCCGCGGCAAGACGGAAAGACCCCGUGGACCUU